AUUUGAUGAACACUAUCAAAAUUCUCUCUCUCUCUCUCUCUUCUGUUAUAUUUAAGGCAGUAAACAAAAACUCUUCCUUAAAGUUUCCUUUCAACAAUAAUACAGUCAAGCAUUUUGGGCUAAAGGCCUCUAUUCUCUAGAACGCACUGAAGGCUUGGAGCAGCCAAGAAAGCAAAGGAUCUCAAUCUUCGCAGGAUUUUGAUGGCAACCUGUACCAACAUUCUGGAUUAGAUGUUGAGCAGCUUCUGAGCAAAAUGGAACCUUGUAGGACACCUGAGGUUGAUGGCCUAGAUGUCAUACACUUUCCUUUGAUGCAUGUAUUCAAACAGAUUCUAGACAGGAAAGUUAAUCUGGAACCAGGAUUUGUAUUCAAUCGCCUAAAUGGUUCUUUCCAACUUUGGGAUGUCUUAUUGGGUAUUGAUUCUAACUGAUUUCUCAUUAAAGACAACAUUUGCACAUAUAAUGUAUAGCUAUUUUUAGAAAAAGUAUAAUUAAAAAUUUCUCUGAGUGGAAUGCCCACACUUGAUUUAAGCAUUUUCUUCCCCAACAUUUAGUGAGCAUUUACUUAAUUAUGAAAAAUAUGAGCAAUGCACUUCUUGUGAAUAAAGCCAAGUAUUAUUAAUAAAUGUCUAUAACAGCCAGAAAGUUAGAGCUUGCUCUAAACAAACAAUUGAGAAGAUCAUCUGAAAGGUGAAUUGACAGAACAAUGCAUAUUCUCUCGAUUUCUUUUAUAAACACCUUGUUUAAUCCUUUAAGGCAAGAUGCCCAGUCUCACUGUCUGAAC
Molecule: long non-coding RNA, 784 nt
Organism: Crotalus tigris (Tiger rattlesnake)
Lineage: Eukaryota; Metazoa; Chordata; Lepidosauria; Squamata; Viperidae
Exons: 3
Source: RefSeq, a predicted model, not a curated record